UAGAAAUGAUUUCGUGGUCAUGGGAGAAAGUAUGAAGCUUGGAGGAGUGGUGAAAUUGGUUCGAACAAUUUUUAUUCGAAAACUGAACGUUUUAGGGGAGGUCAAAGGAGUUGACUUUUUAUACGUUCAUAAUUGGGGAAAACUUCCUUCAUGAAAGUUGUAGAGCUCGUCGAUACGAUCUCGUGCAUAUGUGGUAUGCAAAAAUCAGAGUUCGUAUGAAUUAGUUAUGAUUUUUUUGAAAAAGUUUCCAGUUUAGUAUAAAGCUGCCAUUUUUGGAAAUUACCAAAAAUAAUUUCAGUUCCAUUUCUGGAAACCGAACUCUCUCUCUCUUGCGCGCGUCCGAGCCCAGAAAAAACAGAGCAAAGCUCUCCGGCCGAGUUCUCCCUCCUCCGGCCACCAAUCGACACCAGACCACCUCCCUUGCCUUCGCCUCGACGCCGCCUACCUGCUAGACGUGAUCACUUCCACCGGAACGGCCUCAAAUCCGGCAGUCGGAGUCGCAAACUUUGAAACAAAAAUCGGUCAACGCCGGUUUUCUCCUAGCUCCGGCCACCAAAACUCACGAUCCUUAGCUCCCUGAACUCGCCUCAACCUUCUGAUCAUCAUUCUAGAAGGAUCGCACCUGGAGUGAUCGGAUUCACGUUCGUCGGAGCUCGCCAGAUUCUGGAAAUUUUCCACCACCACCGAAGCUUUUGAUAGGUAUAUCUCGAGUUGUAGUGCAUCGUUUUGAGUGAUUCUUGAACUGGUAAACUCACCUUGAGUUUCUUAACAACUCUCUAGAAGGAAUCGAAGCCUGAAAUUGAAGUUUUGACGUCGAAAUCAAGCCUUGCCGGAUUCUGCAAAAUUCUGGAAUUUUUCCGACCACCGAAGCUUUCGAUCGGUAUAUCUCGAGCUACAGACCAUAUUUUUCUGUGAUUCUUGAACCAGUGAGUUCUUCUUGAGUUUCUUAACAACUCUUCAGAAGGAAUCGAAGCCUUAAAUUGACGUUUUUACGUCGAAUUGGAGCUCGCCGUUUUCUGCAGUUUCUCGCCGGUUUCUGGAAAAUUCUGGCCACCUUCAUACUGUUCAAGGUGAUCGACGGUUUGAUUUGGCGGACGAUUCGUGAAAUUGUAUUUUGAGCUGUUAAGAAGACGCAGCGGGAAUUUAGAGCGGGUAAUCCUACAGGUCAGGAGAACCAGGACGGUGAUCGGGCUGCUUAGAGUAGUGUUAUGUGAAUUACAGCAUUAUAUUGUGAGGUUUGUUAUGCUCAUUUAGAGCUUUACGAUUUUACUUUGUAAGAGUGAAUUGUAAUAAUUAACUCGAGGUUUUCGAGUUUUGUGUUGAGUGGCGAGUGGUGUGUUUGUUUCUGAAAAAAAAAAAUUCAGAACGUUAUUUGUAUUAAUUGUUUAUUCAUGUUUCGGAUUUGAAUUUAUUAUUCAAAAUUCGG
This is a long non-coding RNA of Rosa rugosa (rugosa rose), 1426 nucleotides long. RefSeq lists it as uncharacterized. The transcript is spliced from 3 exons. The record is from RefSeq and is a predicted model, not a curated record. Lineage: Eukaryota; Viridiplantae; Streptophyta; Magnoliopsida; Rosales; Rosaceae.